GACGAACGCUGGCGGCGUGCCUAAUACAUGCAAGUAGAACGCUGAAGGAGGAGCUUGCUUCUCCGGAUGAGUUGCGAACGGGUGAGUAGCGCGUAGGUAACCUGCCUGGUAGCGGGGGAUAUCUAUUGGAAACGAUAGCUAAUACCGCAUAACAGUAGAUGUUGCAUGACAUUUGCUUAAAAGGUGCAAUUGCAUCACUACCAGAUGGACCUGCGUUGUAUUAGCUAGUUGGUGAGGUAACGGCUCACCAAGGCGACGAUACAUAGCCGACCUGGGAGGGGGAUCGGCCACACUGGGACUGAGACACGGCCCAGACUCCUACGGGAGGCAGCAGUAGGGAAUCUUCGGCAAAGGACGGAAGUCUGACCGGGCAACGCCGCGUGAGUGAAGAAGGGUUUCGGAUCGUAAAGCUCUGUUGUAAGGGAAGAACGAGUGUGAGAGUGGAAAGUUCACACUGUGACGGUAUCUUACCAGAAAGGGACGGCUAACUACGUG
RNAcentral lists this ribosomal RNA (495 nucleotides) under uncultured bacterium. RNAcentral describes it as "partial 16S ribosomal RNA". It matches the Rfam family "Bacterial small subunit ribosomal RNA", at positions 28 to 507 of the family's 1533-position model. The record is from RNAcentral.